Streptomyces sp. NRRL WC-3618 is the source of this 78-nucleotide non-coding RNA. The record is from Rfam. NCBI's taxonomy places the organism in Bacteria, Bacillati, Actinomycetota, Actinomycetes, Kitasatosporales, Streptomycetaceae.
UUGAGCCGUGUGCGUCGACGAGGCGCACGCACGGUUCUGAGGGGGGCCUCGUCCUGAGAGGGGCGGGGCCUACCCGAC